CCGGGUUAAGUCCCAUAACGAGCGCAACCCUUACCGUUAGUUACCAUCAGGUUAAGCUGGGGACUCUAGCGGGACUGCCACCGUAAGGUGAGAGGAAGGUGGGGAUGACGUCAAAUCAGCACGGCCCUUAUGUCCAGGGCUACACACGUGUUACAAUGGUCGGUACAAAGGGUUGCCAAGCCGCGAGGUGGAGCUAAUCCCAUAAAACCGAUCGUAGUCCGGAUCGCAGUCUGCAACUCGACUGCGUGAAGUCGGAAUCGCUAGUAAUCGUGAAUCAGAAUGUCACGGUGAAUACGUUCCCGGGCCUU
RNAcentral lists this ribosomal RNA (308 nucleotides) under uncultured Sphingobacteriales bacterium. Its description in RNAcentral is "bacterial SSU rRNA". It matches the Rfam family "Bacterial small subunit ribosomal RNA", at positions 1074 to 1382 of the family's 1533-position model. Lineage: Bacteria; Pseudomonadati; Bacteroidota; Sphingobacteriia; Sphingobacteriales. The record is from RNAcentral.